Long non-coding RNA from Eucalyptus grandis, 654 nucleotides. RefSeq lists it as uncharacterized. The record is from RefSeq and is a predicted model, not a curated record. NCBI's taxonomy places the organism in Eukaryota, Viridiplantae, Streptophyta, Magnoliopsida, Myrtales, Myrtaceae. The transcript has 3 exons.
ACCUAAUAAGACUGUAAAAGAAAAGUUGAGGACAAGUUAUGAUACAUUAGAAUAUAAGGAGCAGCAGAUGUUUCUAGACAUUGCAUGUUUUUUCAUUGGAACUGACAAAAGAAUUGCUACUUACCUAUGGGAGGAUCUCAAAUUUUUCCCAAUAAUCGGAUUGCAAGUGCUGAUUCACCGUUCAUUAAUAAAAAUUGAUGACAAUAAUCAAUUGAGAAUGCAUGAUCAAUUAAGAGAUCUAGGAAGAGCUAUCGCCCGUCCAGAAGAUGUGAAGCCUUGGCAUUGGAGCAGACCAUGGGACGUGGAAACCACGAAAAUUCUAGGACGCAAGGAGGAAAAUGAAAAUAUUGAGGCACUAUGUUUGGACGAAAGGGGUUCCAGAGAGUUCAUAAAGCAAGAGAGCUUCAAAAAAAUGCCUAACUUGAAGUUCCUUCAUGUGAAGGAUGUGGACUUUGAUGGAGAUUUCGAAGGAUCACUUGCUGAAUUAAGAUGGCUAAAGUGGGAGAGAUGUCGCGACUCUUUUGAAGGCGACCAACUUUCAUUUGGAGAAAUUAGUCGUACUUGAUUUAUCUGGUGAUCUUUACGUCGUGGAAGCGGUAUUAGUGAAAAUUGGAGAGGAUGGAGUUCAAUUAAGAUGGAGAGGUUGAAAGUACU